This 739-nucleotide long non-coding RNA is filed under the name Lactuca sativa (garden lettuce). RNAcentral's name for it is "long non-coding RNA (LSAT_LNC004669)". The record is from RNAcentral. Lineage: Eukaryota; Viridiplantae; Streptophyta; Magnoliopsida; Asterales; Asteraceae.
AAAAGGUUUUCCACCGGCGCUUCCUGAUAUUCCUGCGCCGUUCUUGCCGCCGAUCGGUGGAGGUAUUUUACCUCCUCUUCCGGUGCCGGAUGUACCCAUGCCACCUCUAAUUCCCCCGCUACCACAGCUCCCUGGUAUUCCACUUCCACCUGUUACCCGCCAAAAAUCAUCGGAAUCCGAUAGAUUGGCCGAUCAAAAAAGUUUUGGUUUCCCGUUUCCACCGCCACUGUUCCCACCGCUGCCGUUUGUGCCAUCGCCGCCGUCAUUGAUUCCUCCCGUCAUUCCAACACCACCACCGUCACUGUUCCCUCCCCUCGUUCCAUCAACACCACCAUCAUUGUUUCCUCCCCUCGUUCCAUCACCACCAUCAUCGAUGUUUCCACCAUUGCCCUUUCCACCUGUACCAGGUUUGAUUCCAUCACCGCCGCCGCCACCACCGCCGGCGUUCCCAAUUCCUCUGCCUCCACUACCUCCGCUACCUCCGCUACCUCCAGUACCUCCGGUACCAGGAGUCCCACCGGCGAAAACCUCCCCUUGAUUAAACUCGUAUAUAUUUAAUAUUAUUACUGCAUAACCUUUUGAAGUAACCUUUCCAUACAUACGCGCGUAUUACAAUUAUGGGUAUUGUAAUUGUAGCAUGAAUAAAUCGUACAUGGUAAAAUGGUUGGGAUUCCUAUAAAUAGUUUAAAAUUUUUGAGAUCCAAUUAUGCGUUCUGAGUAUUGUUUAAUAGAUAGCAUU